This 85-nucleotide non-coding RNA is filed under the name Micromonospora echinospora. RNAcentral's name for it is "ZTP sequence". It matches the Rfam family "ZMP/ZTP riboswitch aptamer (pfl RNA motif)". Rfam says of the family: Previously known as pfl RNA. ZMP is also known as AICAR. Lineage: Bacteria; Bacillati; Actinomycetota; Actinomycetes; Micromonosporales; Micromonosporaceae. The record is from RNAcentral.
GAACCGGGCCGUUACUGGCGUUGAGGUGGAGCACCACCGGGGAGCGGCCCGACGACCGUCGAUGCCGUACGCCUGGGCGCCCCUU